UACGUAGGGCGCAAGCGUUAUCCGGAAUUAUUGGGCGUAAAGAGCUCGUAGGCGGUUUGUCGCGUCUGCCGUGAAAGUCCGGGGCUCAACUCCGGAUCUGCGGUGGGUACGGGCAGACUAGAGUGAUGUAGGGGAGACUGGAAUUCCUGGUGUAGCGGUGAAAUGCGCAGAUAUCAGGAGGAACACCGAUGGCGAAGGCAGGUCUCUGGGCAUUAACCGACGCUGAGGCGCGAAAGCCAGGGGAGCAAACGGG
This 253-nucleotide ribosomal RNA is filed under the name uncultured bacterium. RNAcentral's name for it is "partial 16S ribosomal RNA". It matches the Rfam family "Bacterial small subunit ribosomal RNA", at positions 524 to 776 of the family's 1533-position model. The record is from RNAcentral.